GCGGAUGUGGCGGAAUUGGCAGACGCGCUAGACUUAGGAUCUAGUCUUUUACGAGGUGGGAGUUCAACUCUCCCCAUCCGCA
This 82-nucleotide transfer RNA is filed under the name Candidatus Omnitrophota bacterium. RNAcentral describes it as "tRNA-Leu". It matches the Rfam family "tRNA". From Rfam's summary of the family: Transfer RNA (tRNA) molecules are approximately 80 nucleotides in length. Their secondary structure includes four short double-helical elements and three loops (D, anti-codon, and T loops). The record is from RNAcentral. RNAcentral also lists the same sequence under 1 other name. Lineage: Bacteria; Pseudomonadati; Candidatus Omnitrophota.